GAGGGCAGAGAGACACCACACUACUACUGACGUCCAGAAGACAUCAUCCAGAUAAACAGCCAUCAAUCAGAAAGCAUCGUCCAGCUGAAAGAGCUCUCCUGCAGGAGGAUGAUGCAAAAAAUGGAAAGGCUGCCUUUUUGGCAAAGUUGGCUACUCUGAAGACCAGCCCCUCUGAAGAUGAAGCAGCAUUUUGGGGCGCGCUUUGGAACGUAGCCAAGGAAUUUGUUGGGUGAGAAGCGACCAGCAUGGGGAUGCCAAGGAUCCUUUUCAGUCUCCAUAUGGAAUCAGCUAUCACCUCUGAAGUCAUCACUAACAUUACCUCAGUGAAUCAUUCCAACAACCAUCAAUCAAUGAUUGUCAAAAAACAACAACAGUAAUACAGUUAAUUGGUACUUUGGUUCUGAGAAGAACUCAUCAACAUUCUGAAGAAUAUAUGUUUUAUCCAUGAACAUGUACUUUAUGUCCUGACACAUGAUAGUUGAUUGGUCAAGUUAGUGGAUAAAUAAUUGUAUGGUUGACUUGUCAUAUUGUGAUCCUCCAAUAAACUAUCAAGCAUAAG
Oncorhynchus tshawytscha (Chinook salmon) is the source of this 559-nucleotide long non-coding RNA. The record is from Ensembl. Lineage: Eukaryota; Metazoa; Chordata; Actinopteri; Salmoniformes; Salmonidae.